UACGAAGGGCCCGAGCGUUAUUCGGAAUCACUGGGCUUAAAGCGUACGUAGGCGGGCGCGCAGGCGUCGUGUGAAAUCCCUCGGCUCAACCGAGGAACUGCAUGGCGAACCGCGCGUCUUGAGGCAAGUAGGGGCUGUCGGAACGCUAGGUGGAGUGGUGAAAUGCGUUGAUAUCUAGCGGAACGCCAAAGGUGAAGACAGGCAGCUGGGCUUGUACUGACGCUCAUGUACGAAAGCGUGGGGAGCGAACGGG
RNAcentral lists this unclassified non-coding RNA (253 nucleotides) under uncultured Phycisphaeraceae bacterium. RNAcentral's name for it is "contains 16S-23S intergenic spacer region". It matches the Rfam family "Bacterial small subunit ribosomal RNA", at positions 524 to 776 of the family's 1533-position model. Lineage: Bacteria; Pseudomonadati; Planctomycetota; Phycisphaerae; Phycisphaerales; Phycisphaeraceae. The record is from RNAcentral.